RNAcentral lists this unclassified non-coding RNA (3790 nucleotides) under Leishmania donovani. Its description in RNAcentral is "gene:LdHU3.36.5080(CDS-product:hypothetical_prote in_conserved)". The record is from RNAcentral. Lineage: Eukaryota; Euglenozoa; Kinetoplastea; Trypanosomatida; Trypanosomatidae.
CUGGUUGCUACUCUUCUGCCACUGCAGCGCGCAUCCUCUUGCCGUCUACCUGGCCUCGUGCGCGCGCAAGUGAGGAACGCAGUGCAUUUUCAUUGUGUCCCUCUGUGAUGUGGCUGCAGCGCCUCAACGCUGUCGCCAAUCCUGCCGUACCCGAUUUUACUCCCGUCCACGUGUGCUUGCGGCUGUCUUCUCUCUGCUCCCCCUCCCCCUCCCAGACACACGCACACGCACACAAGGUGUAUAGAGAGGCUCCGGGCUGCCUUUCAAGGCAUCUGUGGUCUUGAGAUCGCCUCUGUGGGUUCUCUUAUAUAUACAUAUACACAUAUAUACUGCUUCUCGGUAUUUAAGCUCGUGAGAAUGGAAUGCGCCGACACUGUGCUUCUCAUUGCGUCUUACUUGACGAAGAAGGAACUCAUGGCGCUGAGCGGAGUCUCGCAUCUGUGUCGGAAGAUCGUCAGCGACUCGUUCAUAUCGUAUGAAGAGAAGAAGUACUUGGUGUGGCCCUGCCUGAGAGACGACUACGUCGAGCUUGCUCCACCUAGUCAGAUUUUGGCUCUCGGUGUUCUGGAGAAGGAGCAGAGGCUUCUGGUGCUCGUGCGCAGCGGCACAGACACAUCCAACAUCGACGAAAUGGAAUGCUACUUGUACACCCAGCUGGUGGACGACGAUGGGUACGUGGCGGAGCACCAAAGGGAGCUUCCUGCUUGUUUUGCCUUUCCAUCCUCGCUCGUGCAUUUUAGCGGGAAUCGGUACCUCCUGUGCAAAACGCGCGAAGGGGAUUUGCACGUUUUUGACUGCCUUAUCGAGACCAUGAUUGAGGUGCCGGUCGGGACAGACGGCUUUUACGCGUCUCCAGACGGCGAUCACUUUCUGCUCGACUACAAUCGCCACGUCUUCUUCUGCACCGCCAGCGUUCACAUUGCGUGCUGGUUGGAGAUGACCCCAGUCGACUGCAAGCGGCAUGAGGGCACCUACAACGCAGCGUCGAACCUGCCGCCGUCCGCCCUCGUAGCGACCCACCUGCGCGCGCAGAUUGUGCCGCUGUCUGAUCCCUUCAGCAGCUGCGGUAACAGCACUAGCGGCAGCGCCCCCGCGCACGUGGAUACGACCCACCCGGCGCCACCCUUGCACUUUUACCUGGGCACAAGCAGCGCUGCCUGGCGAACAUUUUGGAUGGGCAGCAGCUCUGCUCUGUGCGCCAAUGAAGACGGCGUGAGUCUGCUCAAGAUCAAUAACUACCCUGAAAUGGUCGCGGAACGACUGACCUCUCUUUCUUCCUCGUGCUCGGACUUUGUGGACAGAAGCUGCGGAGACGUUUACGGCACCCCAUGCGAGGAUAGUGACGAGUACGCCGUGAUGAACUGCCGAGAAGUGCGGUUGCACACAGUGAGCUACUGGCCAAUGCGGUGUUCGACAACCGAGGUGCGGGCCAUCGACCUGAAUUCCAUUGUCCCGAGUCUCGCAACUAUCAAGAGCGUCCGCAUCGCCGUGAGCCGCGUCACGUAUCUCAUCUACAUGCAACACCAAGACCUGGACAGGGUGCUGCUGCUCUCCUCAGAUCUCACGCUGACGCGGUGGAUCUCGAUUGGGCGUCCAUCGUGCUAUGUGCUGUGGCGUCAGCAGGUAUCGCUCGUCACAGCGAGCCUCUCGGACGGCGCUGGCGACAACUACCAUCCGCUCGUGGAGGCGGUGGAGGGCGGACUCGGCUGCGUUUACACGUUUGGGGUGCGACUGCCCGAAGGCUCGUCUACAGGCGCGGCGGAUCCGUUUGUGACGGCCGUGGACGGCGGCGCCGGCCCCGCUGGAGCAGGCCGCUUCUUGAUGCUACCGCAGUCCUUCACAGGCGUAGAGGCGCUCUCCUGGAUGGCGUUCGGUGUCGUGUCCUCCUCGCUGCUAUGGACGGUAUCAGCGCUGUGCUACAAUGGCUGGUGGUUGCACUUGCAGCUUCUUAUUCGGGGGAAGGUGGCCUAGUCCUGAUGUCUUCAGUUCGUUUCUGCGCGUGUCUCUGUUUUUGCUGCGGCGAGGAGGGGGCAGUAAUGACAUAGGGCGAGACAAAAUCAUUGGAUGGGAGGAUGGGAGAAUGGGGGGAGGGGAAGGAGAAGGGUUGUGUGGAGACCCCGAGAAGCGGCGUACUUGCGGUGUCCGAUACAUCGCUCUCCGUUCACACACACACACACACACACAUGCAGGCAAUCAUUGGGGAAUGUCGGAUGAAUGCGUCCACACAUACAAUCCGGCACGGCUUGUAUUGCAAUGCAGUCUUGUGCGAAGCGAUUUCCCUGCCUGCGCUCUCGCAACGCUUCGUUUCUUUCCGUUCUUGCUUGCUCACUUUCCGUUUCCCUCGAGCUCUUUGUUCUGCACGGCACUUCACCCCUGCUUUCCUUUGUGAUAACAUGGUCCACUGAGUACUUUGCGCGUGCUCGAACAUUUUUUUUUGAUUGCUCUUCACGCGCGUGUGUGUUUCUCUUUACAUUCUCCUGGCCCCGUCCUCUCCGUCUGCUGUGGCUUUGAUGCUGGUGACACUUCCCUCGCCAUUGCCGUACUCCCCUCCCUCCUGCUUCUCUCCAUUUGUGUCUUUCCGGUCGAGCGGCGGCUCACGGGCUUCCCCUGCUCUCUUCAUAUCCAUCCAACACCACCCACACUCCGUUCCUCUUGUUUGCACUUGAGUGAGGGCCAAGUUCCUGUGGGCCCCUCUGCUGCCAGCGCAUGUUGUUGCACCUGCCCUUCUCUCCUCAAGCACGCUCAUAUGCCCUGGCAGUAUGCAUAUAAAGCGUACGCUAUCGGUGAUCCAUUUGCCUCUUUUCGUUUCAUGUUUGACCUGGCACGUGCUCUUAUCUUCUGUUCGUGUCUGGCUUUCCGUUUUCACUUCAGCGCAUACCCCCCUCCCUCCCCUCCUCCCUGUGGUGCGCGGAGUCGCUGAUGUAUGAUGGGUGAUGUUGAUGUUGUGUGUCGACAGAGGAGACGCACUGACGGGCAUUUAGCUCGGGCACCGAAGGCAUUCACUGCUGUAAUCACCGACGGAGUGAGGCAAGGACGUUUUUUGUGCUGAGUGGAUAACUUGUGAUGCGUGGUAUCCUUUUUGUGUCUUUUGCAUGACACUUUUUGCCGAAUAUCACCGCUGCGUCACGCAUGUGAGAGGGGUUGCCUGUGAGCACAACACUGAUACACUUGACAAAACGUAGAGGCAGAGACGGGGCAGGGAAGGGGAAUGAUACACACACACACACACACACACACGCGUUCGAGCACGUGAGGAGGCUACAAGACACCAUGCGGAGCUAGGUGUGUCCUCGCCCCGCAAGUGCCUGUGCUUGAUGAGCUUAUACCCCUGGCCGUCCGCCGAAUUCGCUCGCCACGUACCUUCUCGUUUCUCUAGCCCUCUUUAUCUUUUUUAUUCUUUCAUUUGUUGUUGCCGUUGCCCUUCCCUUUUUUACCACCUUUUUCAAAGUGUCUGCUGCUGGGGAUACGACAGAUGGGCUGCAGCAUCAUGUGCGCAUGCUUCUCAACCUCCCAGAGUAGCUGUGGGUGGGUCGGUCGGCCUGUGUGUGUAUGUGUGGGCGUGUGCGUGUCUGUGCGGGAACUAUAGAUGUGCGCUCCUUUGCCUUGAUUUCGUUUUCUGCUUUCGUUCUCGCUCGCGCGCUCUCUCCCAAUUCUUCCCGCCUCUUUUUUCUUGAUUACACCUGCUACGAUGUCCGCGUAACCGGAUCAUUUCUGUGAUGAGUCUAUCUUUAGCGCCGGGGCUUUGGGGAUAUCGUGUGGUUUAUUCCAGUACUUCCUCCCCCUUACGACC